UACGGAGGGUGCGAGCGUUGUUCGGAAUCACUGGGCGUAAAGCGCGUGUAGGCGGCCUUCUAAGUCUGAUGUGAAAGCCCGGGGCUUACCUCCGGAAGUGCAUUGGAAACUGGAAGGCUAGAGUACCGGAGAGGAGGGUGGAAUUCCUGGUGUAGCGGUGAAAUGCGUAGAUAUCAGGAGGAACACCGGUGGCGAAGGCGGCCCUCUGGACGGCUACUGACGCUGAGACGCGAAAGCGUGGGGAGCAAACAGG
Molecule: ribosomal RNA, 253 nt
Filed under: uncultured bacterium
Lineage: Bacteria
Description: partial 16S ribosomal RNA
Rfam family: Bacterial small subunit ribosomal RNA
Source: RNAcentral